This 547-nucleotide ribosomal RNA is filed under the name Alternaria tenuissima. RNAcentral's name for it is "eukaryotic LSU rRNA". The stretch from base 169 to 322 matches the Rfam family "5.8S ribosomal RNA". The record is from RNAcentral. Lineage: Eukaryota; Fungi; Ascomycota; Dothideomycetes; Pleosporales; Pleosporaceae.
GGGGGGUUCAAUAUGAGGCGGGCUGGACCUCUCGGGGUUACAGCCUUGCUGAAUUAUUCACCCUUGUCUUUUGCGUACUUCUUGUUUCCUUGGUGGGUUCGCCCACCACUAGGACAAACAUAAACCUUUUGUAAUUGCAAUCAGCGUCAGUAACAAAUUAAUAAUUACAACUUUCAACAACGGAUCUCUUGGUUCUGGCAUCGAUGAAGAACGCAGCGAAAUGCGAUAAGUAGUGUGAAUUGCAGAAUUCAGUGAAUCAUCGAAUCUUUGAACGCACAUUGCGCCCUUUGGUAUUCCAAAGGGCAUGCCUGUUCGAGCGUCAUUUGUACCCUCAAGCUUUGCUUGGUGUUGGGCGUCUUGUCUCUAGCUUUGCUGGAGACUCGCCUUAAAGUAAUUGGCAGCCGGCCUACUGGUUUCGGAGCGCAGCACAAGUCGCACUCUCUAUCAGCAAAGGUCUAGCAUCCAUUAAGCCUUUUUUUUCAACUUUUGACCUCGGAUCAGGUAGGGAUACCCGCUGAACUUAAGCAUAUCAAUAAGCGGAGGAACA